Long non-coding RNA from Eriocheir sinensis (Chinese mitten crab), 2689 nucleotides. RefSeq lists it as uncharacterized. The record is from RefSeq and is a predicted model, not a curated record. NCBI's taxonomy places the organism in Eukaryota, Metazoa, Arthropoda, Malacostraca, Decapoda, Varunidae. The transcript has 2 exons.
UAUCAACCCAUUAGUCCAACUCUUUUAGUGAUAGGUGUCAAAAAUAUUACUGCAAGACAUGAUAGCACAGUACCUUUAUGAAUGGAAUCUGGGAAUAUGUACUGCCAAAAAAUAUCAUAACCUAUUAGUCCAACUCUUUUAGUGAUAGGUAUCAAAAAUAUUACUGCAAGACAUGAUAGCACAGUACCUUUAUGAAUGGAAUCUGGGAAUAUGUACUGCCAAAAAAUAUCAUAACCUAUUAGUCCAACUCUUUUAGUGAUAGGUAUCAAAAAUAUUACUGCAGGACAUAAUAGUGCAGUACUUUUACUAAUGGAAGCUGGGAAUGCUGCCACAAAAGAUUAUAAGCCAUUAGUCCUACACCCUUAGCAGUGGGUGGUGAAGGUGUUACUGCAAGAGAUGAUGGUGCAGGACCUUUAUGAAUGGAAGCUGAAAAUGCUGCCACAAAAGAUUAUAAGCCAUUAGUCCUACACCCUUAGCAGUGGGUGGUGAAUAUAUUACUGCAAGAGAUGAUGGUGAUUUAUAUUGAUGAUAGUUACUUAUAGUGAUUCAUAAUAGUGCAGUACUGUUAUGAAUAGAAACUGAAAAUGCUGCCACAAACAAUUAUAUUUUAACAUUUAUAAGAAAAGUAGAUUAUACCCAACCCAGGAAUCGAACCACAGUAGCCUUAACCCGGUAGCAGCGGGGAUCAUGUUUCUUAAUGGUUCCUCCAAGCGAGAAAAAUGAGAAAAAAUCACCCCUCACACAAACCAUUUCAUAAUACAUAUAUAUCAAAGCAUUUCUGAUCUGAUUAUGUUUCAUCUAUUUUGGGGGGUAAAUAUCAUGGCACAAAUUUGGCCCGUCACUGCUACACGGUGAAGCCACAAAUUUGGCCCUUCGCUGCUACCGGGUUAAGUUAUGAAAGGAAUGAAAGGAACUUUUUUUUUUUUUUUGUGUGUGUGUGUGUGUGUAUGAAAAAAACACUGAUACAAAAAAAGUUCAUGUAAAUAUACAACACAGUUUUAGGUUAUUUAUUAUACACAUAAGAAAAAAAUCACCAGGAAAUGCCGUAGAGUUUUGGAGUAUUUGAUAAGAUGACUGUGUUCAACAAGGCAAUAUGGUAUAAUUUACAUAACCAAUAGUUCUUAGUUCAUACUCAGGUUCACAAGAUCUGGCAGGAGGGAAAGGGAAGGGAGAGGAGAAAAGAAAAUGAACACAGGAACAGGCAAGGAAGGGAAGGGAGCGGUGAAGGUAACAAAGGAAAGGAAAUGGAAGAGGGUGAUCAAGGAAGGAAGGGAGAAGAAGGAAAGGGAAAAAGGGUGUGUAGCAAAGUAAUGGAAGAAAGGGAGAAAUAGAAAAGGGAAAAGAGUGUACAAGGAAGGAAGGGAGCAGAAGGAAAGGGAAAAGGGUGUUCAGGGAUGGAAUGAAAGAAAGGAAAGAGAAAAAAGGGGUGUUUAGCAAAGGAGUGGAAGGAAGAAAGGGAAGAGGGUGUACAAGGAAUGAAAGGAAGGAAGGGAAUGAGGGAAAGAAUAAAAGAAAUGUGUUCAGGGAAGGAAGAAUAAAGAAGAAAGGAAAAAUAAUGUUGGAGAAAAGAAAUGGAAUAGAGAAAAGAAAUUACUGAAUGAAACAAGGAGAAGGAAGAUAUUGUAGGAGAGUAGAAUAACAGAAGGAAGAAUAAAGAAGAAAGGAAAAAUAAUGGAGAAAAGAAAUGGAAUAGAGAAAAGAAAUUACUGAAUGAAACAAUGAGAAGGAAGAUAUUGUAGGAGAGUAGAAUAACAGAAGGAAGAAUAAAGAAGAAAGGAAAAAUAAUGUUGGAGAAAAGAAAUGGAAUAGAGAAAAGAAAUUACUGAAUGAAACAAGGAGAAGAAAGAUAUUGUAGGAGAGUAGAAUAACAGAAGGAAGAAUAAAGAAGAAAGGAAAAAUAAUGUUGGAGAAAAGAAAUGGAAUAGAGAAAAUAAAUUACUGAAUGAAACAAUGAGAAGGAAGAUAUUGUAGGAGAGUAGAAAAACAGAAGGAAGAAUAAAGGGAAGGGGGUAACUAGUGUAAUUUCUUGCCAACACAAAUGUCUACCUAAAAUAAUGACUCCACUCCCUUCAUGAGCUGUACUGAGGUCGACUGACUGAUUGAAGGUUUGGAGUGACUGACAGACUGACUGGUAGGAGGUGUGAAGUGACUGACUGACUAGAGAUGAGGUGACUGACAGACUAACUGGAGGUGUGAAGUGACUGACUGGAGAUGAGAUUAUUGACUGACUGAAGAUGAGGUGUUUGACUGACUGGAGAUGAGGUGACUGACUGACUGGACUUAUGAGAAGACUGACUGAUUGGAGGUGAGGAGACUUGCUAACUGGAUAGAGAUGACUGACUGACUGAAGAUGAAGUGACUGAUUGACUGACUGACUGGAGUUGUGACCUGACAGACUGGAACUGUGACAUGACUGACUGACUGAAGAUGAGGUGACUGACUGACUGACUUACUGACUGACUGGAAUUGUGACAUAACUUACUGACUGACUGGUAAUGAUUUGACUGACUGGAGUUGUGAGAUGACUGACUAGUGAGGUGACUGUUAACUCAUCCUCUCAUCACCCGACUGACUUUGACCUCAUCAAAAAAAAAGAAAAAAGAAAAAAAGGAAAAUAAACAAACUUCUUAAUCUAUACUGCUUGAAUGUCCUUCUUCUGUACAGCUUGUCAAUAAAACCUUGAUAAAUA